Molecule: long non-coding RNA, 224 nt
Organism: Candoia aspera
Lineage: Eukaryota; Metazoa; Chordata; Lepidosauria; Squamata; Candoiidae
Exons: 2
Source: RefSeq, a predicted model, not a curated record
AGACAUGGAGGAUUUCAAGCAGAUUCUUUCUGACUUUCACCAGGAUUUUAAACAGAUUUCUUCUGACUUCUAUCAAGCUUUUAUGCAAGAUAUCCAGGACACUGUGGAAAAUAUGAGCUCUAAAAUGUGCCAUCAGGUUAGGGAUGUGGUGGAUGAAAUUGAGGAAUUUAAGAGCAAAAAAAGGGUUUUUUUAAGACUGAGAUUGGGAUUUUUAUUGAGAUGCU